CGAGUAAACCGUAUGUCUUCAUAAUUUGAUUGUGCGCCGGUCCCACAGGUGCCUCCCAGCUCUAUUGAACACCGAUGGAGUUAUUUAGAAUCAUAAAUAAUAUUAUCAAAGAGGGUCUACUGGGUAAACAGAGUCAGUGCAUAAAUAGUCGGAGCGUGAUAUUGAUUGUUCUUAGCCGACUAAUGAAUUAUUCUGUGUAAGGGCCCACGGAAAUGAAGCCCAGCGCUGGCGAGGCGAGGGCCCUCCGAAGGGUUUCCCGGCAGAGCGGCUCGGCUCGGCGGUGCCGGCCACCGCGGCUGGGCGAGGGAUCACCAGGACCUCGUGCCGCGCGGCCGGGGCGAGCCCGCAGGGAUCUACUAGAGACGGCAGCUCGUCGCAGCCAUGAACUCAUCAAGAAAGCCGUGGGGCUGGAGGCAGCGACCUGAAGCAACUCAGUGCAGACGGGCCGGGGGGCACCGGAGAGCAGGAGGAGCGCGUGGGAGAGCCGGCACGGAAAGCGCGGGAAGCCAGUCCGGGCCAUCCAGGUGCAAACGCCCUGCUGCCAGGGCAGAGGCAUGCAGAGCCGAACCACACUGCUUUUCAAAUAAAAGCAGCUUGGCCCAUUGCAAAA
Long non-coding RNA from Dromaius novaehollandiae (emu), 610 nucleotides. RefSeq lists it as uncharacterized. The record is from RefSeq and is a predicted model, not a curated record. Lineage: Eukaryota; Metazoa; Chordata; Aves; Casuariiformes; Dromaiidae. The transcript is spliced from 2 exons.